GACGAACGCUGGCGGCGUGCUUAACACAUGCAAGUCGAACGCUGAAGCUCAGCUUUUGUUGGGUGGAUGAGUGGCGAACGGGUGAGUAACACGUGAGUAACCUGCCCCCUUCUUUGGGAUAACGCCCGGAAACGGGUGCUAAUACUGGAUAUUCACUGGUCUUCGCAUGGGGGUUGGUGGAAAGGGUUUUUCUGGUGGGGGAUGGGCUCGCGGCCUAUCAGCUCGUUGGUGGGGUGAUGGCCUACCAAGGCUUUGACGGGUAGCCGGCCUGAGAGGGUGACCGGUCACAUUGGGACUGAGAUACGGCCCAGACUCCUACGGGAGGCAGCAGUGGGGAAUAUUGCACAAUGGGCGCAAGCCUGAUGCAGCGACGCCGCGUGAGGGAUGGAGGCCUUCGGGUUGUGAACCUCUUUCGCUCAUGGUCAAGCCGCAACAAUGGUUGUGGUGAGGGUAGUGGGUAAAGAAGCGCCGGCUAACUACGUG
Molecule: ribosomal RNA, 483 nt
Filed under: uncultured bacterium
Lineage: Bacteria
Description: partial 16S ribosomal RNA
Rfam family: Bacterial small subunit ribosomal RNA
Source: RNAcentral